AUACCUUUCUCGGCAUUUUGGCUAAGAUCAAGUGUAGUAUCUGUUCUUAUCAGUUUAAUAUCUGAUACGUGAUCCAUUGGAUCACAAGAUAUUAAAUUUAUUUUUUAAGUGGGAGAGUCCAUCACCGUAGCUUGCUACUUGGGCUCUCGAUCGUUGCCCUGGUUUUGCACUAUUGCGUGGGCCCGGCGUACCGCAC
RNAcentral lists this small nuclear RNA (196 nucleotides) under Gossypium raimondii (Peruvian cotton). RNAcentral describes it as "snRNA LOC128040076". It matches the Rfam family "U2 spliceosomal RNA". Rfam says of the family: U2 is a small nuclear RNA (snRNA) component of the spliceosome (involved in pre-mRNA splicing). Complementary binding between U2 snRNA (in an area lying towards the 5' end but 3' to hairpin I) and the branchpoint sequence (BPS) of the intron results the bulging out of an unpaired adenosine, on the BPS, which initiates a nucleophilic attack at the intronic 5' splice site, thus starting the first of two transesterification reactions that mediate splicing. Lineage: Eukaryota; Viridiplantae; Streptophyta; Magnoliopsida; Malvales; Malvaceae. The record is from Rfam by way of RNAcentral.